UACGUAGGGGGCAAGCGUUGUCCGGAUUUACUGGGCGUAAAGAGCGUGUAGGCGGCCAGGCAGGUCUGUUGUGAAAACUGGAGGCUCAACUUCCAGACGUCGACAGAAACUGCUUGGCUAGAGUCCGGAAGAGGAGAGUGGAAUUCCUGGUGUAGCGGUGAAAUGCGCAGAUAUCAGGAAGAACACCGAUGGCGAAGGCAGCUCUCUGGGACGGUACUGACGCUGAGACGCGAAAGCGUGGGGAGCGAACAGG
This 253-nucleotide ribosomal RNA is filed under the name uncultured bacterium. Its description in RNAcentral is "partial 16S ribosomal RNA". It matches the Rfam family "Bacterial small subunit ribosomal RNA", at positions 524 to 776 of the family's 1533-position model. The record is from RNAcentral.